Non-coding RNA from Ixodes scapularis (black-legged tick), 72 nucleotides. Lineage: Eukaryota; Metazoa; Arthropoda; Arachnida; Ixodida; Ixodidae. The record is from Rfam.
GCCGUGAUCGUAUAGUGGUUAGUACCUUGCGUUGUGGCCACAAUAACCCAGGUUCGAAUCCUGGUCACGGCA